Molecule: small nucleolar RNA, 132 nt
Organism: Suncus etruscus (white-toothed pygmy shrew)
Lineage: Eukaryota; Metazoa; Chordata; Mammalia; Eulipotyphla; Soricidae
Product: small nucleolar RNA SNORA51
Exons: 1
Source: RefSeq, a predicted model, not a curated record
GGCCUCCAAUGCUUACCAUAGGUUGUGUUCUUUACACUGACUGUAUAAAAAGAGGAGGUACAGUAAAUGCACCCCAUAUACAUUUCAGCCCAGGCUCUUUGCCUGAUCUAUAUUGUGAAUGGGGGGACAUGG